Long non-coding RNA from Perca flavescens (yellow perch), 315 nucleotides. RefSeq lists it as uncharacterized. The transcript has 3 exons. NCBI's taxonomy places the organism in Eukaryota, Metazoa, Chordata, Actinopteri, Perciformes, Percidae. The record is from RefSeq and is a predicted model, not a curated record.
GGCAGAUCUUCCGGGCGACUCGCUCUAUAAGAAAUUAGAAAAUGCUACAAUAAAACCCGAAAAAUAGAAGAAAAAAAUGUGGCAACUUUAUUAAUGAAAGCUCGUGCGCUAUCCACCGUAAACACACACGCCCCUUUAGUUGGAAGUCACCGAUAGACAGCGAAGUACCUCAGAUCAUUCAUGGAAAGCCAUCUUCUAUAUUAAAAAUGCCACUGCUAGUACAACACGAGUGCAACUCUGGAAUGUGACGCCAUGUGUCUGCUGUCCAAAGGUCCAUCUCUAGCUGGACACCAGCCAGCCUUCACUGUCAGACAG